Molecule: non-coding RNA, 24 nt
Filed under: Arabidopsis thaliana (thale cress)
Lineage: Eukaryota; Viridiplantae; Streptophyta; Magnoliopsida; Brassicales; Brassicaceae
Source: RNAcentral
UAAGAGGUGGUGUGUUGAUUGUUU